Molecule: ribosomal RNA, 468 nt
Filed under: uncultured bacterium
Lineage: Bacteria
Description: partial 16S ribosomal RNA
Rfam family: Bacterial small subunit ribosomal RNA
Source: RNAcentral
GACGAACGCUGGCGGCGUGCUUAACACAUGCAAGUCGAACGGACAGGCCCUGCUUUUGUUGGUUUCUCGAGUGGCGAACGGGUGAGUAACACGUGAGUAACCUGCCCUUGACUUUGGGAUAACUUCAGGAAACUGGGGCUAAUACCGGAUAUGAUCUCCUGCUGCAUGGUGGUGGUUGGAAAGUUUCGGCGGUUGUGGAUGGACUCGCGGGUUAUCCGCUUGUUGGUGUGGUAGUGGCUUACCAAGGCUUUGACGGGUAGCCGGCCUGAGAGGGGUAACGGCGACAAGGGGACUGAGAGACGGACCAGAAUCGUAUGGGAGGCAGUAGGGGGGAAUAUGGCACAAUGGGGGGAAGCCUGAUGCAGAAACGCUGCGUGCGGGAUGACGGCUUUCGGGUGGUAAACAGAUGUGGAAGGAGACGAAGAGUGAGUGACGGUAAUGGGUAAAGAAGCAACGGCUAACUACGUG